GUGGGGAAUAUUGGACAAUGGGCGCAAGCCUGAUCCAGCAAUGCCGCGUGGGUGAAGAAGGUCUUCGGAUUGUAAAGCCCUUUCGGCGGGGACGAUGAUGACGGUACCCGCAGAAGAAGCCCCGGCUAACUUCGUGCCAGCAGCCGCGGUAAUACGAAGGGGGCGAGCGUUGCUCGGAAUGACUGGGCGUAAAGGGCGCGUAGGCGGCGGACACAGUCAGGCGUGAAAUUCCUGGGCUCAACCUGGGGGCUGCGCUUGAUACGUGUUUGCUAGAGUUAGGAAGAGGGUCGUGGAAUUCCCAGUGUAGAGGUGAAAUUCGUAGAUAUUGGGAAGAACACCGGUGGCGAAGGCGGCGACCUGGUCCUGGACUGACGCUGAGGCGCGAAAGCGUGGGGAGCAA
Molecule: ribosomal RNA, 400 nt
Filed under: uncultured Acidisoma sp.
Lineage: Bacteria; Pseudomonadati; Pseudomonadota; Alphaproteobacteria; Acetobacterales; Acidocellaceae
Description: bacterial SSU rRNA
Rfam family: Bacterial small subunit ribosomal RNA
Source: RNAcentral